GCGGCUGUAGCAUAGUGGUAAUGCACUGGCUUCCCAAGCCAGCUAUGUGGGUCCGAUUCCCAUCAGCCGCU
Molecule: transfer RNA, 71 nt
Filed under: Phycisphaerales bacterium
Lineage: Bacteria; Pseudomonadati; Planctomycetota; Phycisphaerae; Phycisphaerales
Description: tRNA-Gly
Rfam family: tRNA
About the family: Transfer RNA (tRNA) molecules are approximately 80 nucleotides in length. Their secondary structure includes four short double-helical elements and three loops (D, anti-codon, and T loops). Further hydrogen bonds mediate the characteristic L-shaped molecular structure. tRNAs have two regions of fundamental functional importance: the anti-codon, which is responsible for specific mRNA codon recognition, and the 3' end, to which the tRNAs corresponding amino acid is attached (by aminoacyl-tRNA synthetases). tRNAs cope with the degeneracy of the genetic code in two manners: having more than one tRNA (with a specific anti-codon) for a particular amino acid; and 'wobble' base-pairing, i.e. permitting non-standard base-pairing at the 3rd anti-codon position.
Source: RNAcentral